AGAGUUUGAUCYUGGCUCAGGACGAACGCKGGCGGCGUGCUUAACACAUGCAAGUCGAACGGAAAGGCCCUGCUUUUGUGGGGUGCUYGAGUGGCGAACGGGUGAGUAACACGUGAGUAACCYGCCCUUSACUUUGGGAUAACUUCAGGAAACUGGGGCUAAUACCGGAUAGGAGCUCCUGCUGCAUGGUGGGGGUUGGAAAGUUUCGGCGGUUGGGGAUGGACUCGCGGCUUAUCGGCUUGUUGGUGGGGUAGUGGCUUACCAAGGCUUUGACGGGUASCCGGCCYGAGAGGGUGACCGGCCACAUUGGGACUGAGAUACGGCCCAGACUCCUMCGGGAGGCASCASUGGGGAAUAUUGCACAAUGGGCGGAASCCUGAYGCAGCAACGCCGCGUGCGGGAUGACGGCCUUCGGGUUGUAAACCGCUUUCGCCUGYGACGAAGCGUGAGUGACGGUAAUGGGUAAAGAAGCACCGGCUAACUACGUGCCAGCAGCCGCGGUAAUAC
Molecule: ribosomal RNA, 507 nt
Filed under: uncultured Propionibacterium sp.
Lineage: Bacteria; Bacillati; Actinomycetota; Actinomycetes; Propionibacteriales; Propionibacteriaceae
Description: partial 16S ribosomal RNA
Rfam family: Bacterial small subunit ribosomal RNA
Source: RNAcentral